GACAGAGGCCUCAAGCGUUAGGCGGAAUCACUGGGCUUAAAGCGUGUGUAGGCGGGCCGUUAAGUGUCUUGUGAAAUCCCCCGGCUCAACCGGGGGAUUGCUGGGCAUACUGGCGGUCUUGAGCGAUCUAGGGGCAGAUGGAACAAGUGGUGGAGCGGUGAAAUGCGUAGAUAUCACUUGGAACGCCAAAGGUGAAGACAGUCUGCUGGGGAUCUGCUGACGCUGAGACACGAAAGCCAGGGGAGCGAACGGG
Molecule: ribosomal RNA, 253 nt
Filed under: uncultured bacterium
Lineage: Bacteria
Description: partial 16S ribosomal RNA
Rfam family: Bacterial small subunit ribosomal RNA
Source: RNAcentral